ACAGACGAGGAGCUUGCUCCUCUGACGUUAGCGGCGGACGGGUGAGUAACACGUGGAUAACCUACCUAUAAGACUGGGAUAACUUCGGGAAACCGGAGCUAAUACCGGAUAAUAUAUUGAACCGCAUGGUUCAAUAGUGAAAGACGGUUUUGCUGUCACUUAUAGAUGGAUCCGCGCCGCAUUAGCUAGUUGGUAAGGUAACGGCUUACCAAGGCAACGAUGCGUAGCCGACCUGAGAGGGUGAUCGGCCACACUGGAACUGAGACACGGUCCAGACUCCUACGGGAGGCAGCAGUAGGGAAUCUUCCGCAAUGGGCGAAAGCCUGACGGAGCAACGCCGCGUGAGUGAUGAAGGUCUUCGGAUCGUAA
RNAcentral lists this ribosomal RNA (369 nucleotides) under Staphylococcus epidermidis. RNAcentral's name for it is "bacterial SSU rRNA". It matches the Rfam family "Bacterial small subunit ribosomal RNA", at positions 69 to 428 of the family's 1533-position model. Lineage: Bacteria; Bacillati; Bacillota; Bacilli; Caryophanales; Staphylococcaceae. The record is from RNAcentral.